ACACCAGUAGAGAGCAGCACAUACAUUAACACAUAAAUAAACUGAGUCAAUGCCAUGAAAUAAUGAUAAUCAAUCAGAAACAAAUAAUCUAGCUGCCUUACAUCAGAAGAGGUAGAAAUAUUUAUUAAUAAUUUAUUGUUUAUUUUGUAUGCUGCUGGACCUGGGUAACAUAUUUCAUUCCUUCACGUUUAUAAUAUGUUAUGACAAUAAGCUGAACUUAAUUACACACCUCUAUGGACCAAUUUACACACCCUUAACAUGUUAUUCCUUUUGUUUUCUGCCAGAUUAAUCUUGCACAAAAUCACUGCCUAUUUUCUGUUUCUUUUAUUAGUUGCCAUCAAGAAGCAAUCUCCAAAGCUGAAAAAUGAAGCUAACAGGUUGUGUCAAAACAUGCAGUUCCACAAAUGUCCAGUAGAGGCCGGAUACAAAAGCGAGUCAAUCCCCAUAGACCACCCAUGUUAAAAUGAACAACUUUACCGCAAAAAUAAACAUGCUUUUUAACACUAGCUAAACUAGCUACACAAAAGCAAAAAAACUAAACUCCCUAGCCAGAGCUAAACACGGUAACAACACCCACCACUAGUGAUGUGUCCUUUCGUAUCGAGUAAUCCAGGCAUUUUUAUGUGAAGUUAUCCAAGCUUGUGUUGAUGACGUAUGUGGUGACGUUAGAAGCCUCGCGAGCCAGUCGUACCAUGUGACUGGUUCAGGAACUCUUCCAGGGUUUGACAUGUGAUUUAAAAUAUAAGGGGGAGUGAAGCGCAAUGGAUUCCCUGUUCACAUUCUGUGGAUUUUUGCCUGCUGUAUCUUUGCUUGCAAUCAGUUUGAGGCUCUUUUUUCCAUGGAGCCUGCUAGAAAGAGAAGAUUCUCCCCUGUCUGGGAACACUUUGACCUGAUUUCUCCUAAUAAAGUAGGCAAGAAAAGAAAAAAAAGAAACCGCCUGAUUCCCAGCACUGUGGAAAAAUUGAUAUUUUUGAAUAAAAAUUAAAAGUAUUUAAGCACUUUACAUAAAACCAGAACCUGACCCCAAUCAAGCAGUCAAGCUACAAAUCUCAAGUCUCUCCCCAACUUGUUUCCAUUUCCCCCUCUGUCCCUGCUAUCAGGAAAAACAGACACUAUAUUAAAUACAAGCCUAAAAAUACACAUAGAAGUUUAGUACCUGAGUAAAUACUGUGUGUUAAAUCACUUUAUCUUUCUAUCUUUCUAUCUUUCGGGACAGCGUAGCAGCCUAUCUACCUAUAGCACAGAUUGCUAGACCUCUACUGCUAACUAUGUAGACAUACAUCUUGCACUGAACUACUGCCAAUACUCAACCAUGUGUUCAAACAACAGUUGCUCAACAACUUGCUAUCUAGUAAUUAUGAUUAAUAACAUUCAUAAAACUAUAACAUCAGAACAAUAUAUAAAAAUGCCAUGCCUUACAUAAUGUAUUAUUGAUACAUUACAAAUAGUCUGUAAAGCUUUAAUUACUGUCUCAGAUUUGAAAGUUGCACUAUAUACUGUAAAAACUCUAUAUGCUACUACAUUACCAAAAGAAGCUUUCAUUAUUAACACACACAAAGAUGUGAUUUAAUAUUAUAUAUUCAUUUGUUGUCUUUAACCCACUUCUCAUAGGUUGGCCUGGUUGAAGUUCUGUUGGGGCUCAACUUAGAAGAUCAUCACUCUGGGUUGACAUGGUAACCUCUAUCACCCAGCAGAAGACCAUCAAACUCUCCUGUAAUGUACACUGGAUACAUUAGAGUACAUUGAAGAACAUAGACAAGUCAAUUAUAUUGUUAAAAUCUUUAUGCUGCUUAGCACAUUGCAGUCUGUUGCUCACGUUAAACUCAUCAUAAAUCCUCAAGUCAUGAACAAAACCAGGCCACUUGACCUCCACACUAGAAAUAAUAUAUGCAGCACCACAUAUGAUCUUGACAGUGCACACAAUAACACAUGUUGAACUACAAUGCAGCCUUUAACAUGUUGAUACUGUACUCAAUCUACCUGCAGCCUACCUGCACAUUUAUGCUGUGAAUGCACUUCCUAUUCACAUAAUCAGCUUCACUAUGUGAGGCAACUGUGAUGGGGAUGUGUGUGCCAUCUAUGCAACCAAUCACACUGAGAAAUCCUAAAAGACAUUACAAUUACUAAUCCCACUCUGACGUUGCAACAUGAUGUCAUUAACAGAAUAUGAUGUAAAAUUAAUUUAACAGAUCUCUACAUCAUUGAUCUGCAAUCCUGUCAAACUCCUCCUUCAUGACUCUGACAGGUUUAUGUCCAGGGAAAACCACAAACAUGACUUAAAAACCCUUUCAAGGCCAAGCACACUUUCCUGCCUCUCCUACACACAGUUGCCUUACUGAAGUGCUCUGCAUCUCAGACAUUAGAUAGAAAAACUUCCAUUUGCAAAGAACCACAGUGCAACACACAACAUCUGCUGGGAUGUCAGAGCAUAACUGCAGUUGGUCAUGUUGCAAAUGUAAGGACAGAUUAGGUUGUGGAUGUAGAUUAUGAACUGUGAUGUAAAACACUACCACUCUAAAAGACAACUGUCCACAAAUGCAACAACAUCUAUGCACAGUCUGAUAACAAUCUCAAAGAAUCCCAAAGAAUAUUUAAUUCUCUACACAGUAAUGCUGCUCCUUCAUCCACUGCACCAUUAAUCAAAGGAUAUGACAUUUUGACACACAGCAGAACUAGACUUCACAAAAACUCACCUGCUGACUGAAUGAAUGACAAAAUCAAAUAACAUAUGUGGCUGAAAAAGGCCAGAGGCAGAGAGGAACUCAAGGUUUACUGAGAUAAACCUGGUCCCGGCCAGGUUACAUUCAUAGACUCCGUUACUACAGUAACUAACCAAAAGCUUUACUUGCCUCUCUUUCUGAAACAGGCUAGAGUUACCCCUCUGUCUCUAGUUUGAGCUACUUCCCCUUGUGAAACAGAAAACCCUGAGUUUCCCUCAUUUCAGGGUUAACAAACUCAGACUUUUCACUAAACCUACUGUUACAAGAUUUUUUACAUUAUCAUUAAUAAUAAUAUAAAAAACCUUCUAACAUUCCCUCCUGUUUAUCAUUAAUACAUUCCUGGUGUCCCGUCCUCCGUGCUGCUGAGUGUCUCUGUGGCCACAUGAGCGGAGUCUGGGAGCAGCAGCGGCUCUGGGAUUUACUACCGGGACUGAGGGAGCAUCUGGAUUAACACCACACACCAGAUUUUUUAUUUCUCUUUUUGUUUUGUUUUUUAUUAUUCUUUUUUUGAAUUGUUGAAGCUUUUUUUUCUAUUUCUGGGCUGAAUAAACAACCUGCAGUCAUGUCUUGGGGUCGGGAUGAUGUGAGCAAGCUGACAGAAAGUACCUACAAGCCUCAGAUCACGAAGCCCCGCCCACACCUCCGACUGCGGCUCAGUGGGUGAUGCGAGGGGAAGAAGCAGACAUGGCGGGCUCGCUCCAAUCAGACCAACUCGAGAGGGCGGUUAUGGCCGGUGUACGGGCUGCACUUUAGUCCACACCACAAACGGUUUCCACACCACAGAUACCUCUGGCCGGGCCCUCACGUACUUCAAGUUUAGCCGCGACCACCACGUCACUAAGAUCGCGAUGAAGACACCAAUGAGGAUGCAGAAGACCUUGGAGGCCCCAGACAAGAAUUCUUCCAUCUACUUGGAAAAGCUGUCCUUAAAGACAGUGGAGCAUUUGAAGGUCCCUCUCUGUCUCCCCACACAUCCACCAACCACUGGAACACAUCUCCAAAGUUCUGCUGGUCCAGCUCAGCUUCCCCUCAGAAGAAGUGCUGCCACCUGCCAGAUGAAGGAGCCUUUUGAGAGGCAGCUGGCAUCGUGAUUGGACUGUACUUUGGUCUGUUCCAAUCCAGCUUCAGCUCCAGAGACGGCAGGCGGGACGAGUCAACGGAGGCCUGGUGGACGAAGGCAUGCAGCUGAGUACAAUCCAGAAAACAACAGAGGAGGAGUGCAGCGGCCCAGAGCCAGAACAACCAGAGUAGCAUCACCAAAGAACUACAGACUCUUCACAACCUGCUCAAACUCUUGGUACAGGACCUCACCACACGGGUCAAGAAGGUUUCUGUCUCAUUUCUACUCUGAAGCUCACCUUCUCCUGCUCAAACUGCUGACAAAUGUUUCUGCUGCUCUAAAGUCUGGUCUCCAGAACUUCCUAAAAACUCUCAAAGUCUCUUCUGCUGCAGGUUGCUUUGUAGAACUGUUCCAGAAAACCUCACUAAACCACAUGGAGGAGCCUCAAGAUAGUCGUCCAAAUGAAACCUUACAAAAACCAAACUAACACAACCCAAACGCUAAAGUCUCCUGCAGCCUACCAGAGAAGCUCUGAGAACAGAGAAUCAGGACAGGAACUCUUACCUUCUGGACAACCAACGCUGGUUCUCAAACAAGAAUACAGAAUGUGUCUGACCAAAAACCUCUGAAGACUCACUACAGCCAAGAUAAAGACACAACUCAGCUGUACCAAAUCCACUAAUCACUGCACACAUUAGGACCAUGUGAUAACUGUGGCUAAAGAACCACAUUUACCAAGACAACUAUCCAGUACAAAGCCCUAAAACACACCAAGAAACACAUUAAAGAUGAUUUUACUGCUGGAAGCUGCAAGCCAACGCCUAAAGAACAAACUAAAUCAAUGGAGCCAAACCCAGUUCACUGGUGAAGAGAAGCAGAGGAGAUGUUUGUCUGCAGCUAAAUAAAGCAGGAAGACACUGAGCUGCUCAGGUGUUCCUGGUAACACCAAGCAGCCACCUGGACAGCCAAUAGGAACACAGCCACCUGGACAGCCAAUAGGAACACAGCUUCCUGGAAGUCCAGAGGGCUGGCUUAGUGAAGGAAAUUUAAUUUAAAGUUGAAGCAGAAAGUUAACAAAGAAAGUUGAAAACCACCUUCUGAUACCUGAAAUCUCUGAGUUUUCACACAAAGAACACCUGAACAUGUCAAACUGGUUCCAUAGUAGAACCAUCAUUGUAAAAACUGUCAUAGUAUGGUGUGUUGCUCAAAAUACAUUAGGACCCGGCUGUCUAGGGUCGCCGAGGAGCAACACAAAAACAGGACAAACGCUGGUUUCCAGGGGGUUAGGAGGAUAUUUAUUAGAAAGAGGAAGUUUACAACAACACAACAUGUGAGCAGAAAAAUCACAAAGUCUGUCUUUAGUUCAGCUGAAAAUAUUAGUUGUCAGAAAUUGAAGCAUCUGAGGGCCUCUUCAAAGGAAAACGUAGUUGAUGAAGGUGUUCUGGAGCAGGACCAGAAAGACCACGACCAAGAAAUUUUGGACGACAUCCUAAACUAUGAGGUUUUUGUCAUAUUUUGGACGACAUACUAAACUAUGAGAUUUUUGUCAAGUUUUGGACAACAUACUUUUUUACGGCCUACUUUACAUUAUUUCAUCAUAUGGCACGUUUUUAAAACAUGCUGAAAAAUCGCUCUUUUUUUCGACAGUAUACUAUGGUGUUUUUUUGCGCCAAAAUUCAUGAUGAUUUUUUUUUCAAAGAAAACCUUUCUGGAGUGUUUUUCAUGGCCUAAUUUACAUUAUUUCAUCAUAUGGCACGUUUUUACAACAUAUUUGAAAAAUCUCAUUUUUUUUCGACAUAGUAUAAUAUGGCGUUUUUUUGCGCCAAAAUUCAUAAUGAUAUUUUUUUCAAAGAAAACCUUACCAUAGUAUUUUUCACGGCCUACUUUACAUUUUUCAUCAUAUGGCACAUUUUUACAUGUUGAAAAAUCGCUUUUUUUUUUACAUAGAAUAGCAUGUCUCUCUAAAAACGUCAUAGUAUAUCAUUUUGCUCUAAAAACGUCAUAGUAUAGCAUGUCGCUCUAUAAACGCCAUAGUAUAGCAUGUCGCUCUAUAAACGCCAUAGUAUAGCAUGUCGCUCUAUAAACGCCAUAGUAUAGCAUGUCGCUCUAUAAACGCCAUAGUAUAGCAUGUCGCUCUAUAAACGCCAUAGUAUAGCAUGUCGCUCUAUGAACACCAUAGUAUAGCAUGUCACUCUAAAAAAGUCAUAGUUUGGCAUGUCGCUCUAAAAACGUCAUAGUAUUUGAGAAACACUGUACUAAGGCUAAAAGUUAAGAUAACCAAUAUUUAUAUACAUUAAAUCUCACGUAUUAACAGCAUGUGAUAGUAGAGAGCUUGUUUUCUUUCACAACUAUGUUACUUCAUUAAUUUGGAUUGCAAUAACUGAAAAUGUACAAUACAGACAUGAGUGAAGAUAUCAGUGUCACAUGACGCUAGAACGUUCUUCUUUCUUUACUAUGGGAUUUAUUUUUUUAUUAGUUUGUCUCCUGUUCUUCAGUUUUACUAAUCUUUCUUUGUUGCAUCACCUUUAUUGCCCCCUAAGGUCAAAGCAUUAUUAAUUCUUGUGUUCCAGACACAGUUUUGGGCUAGUUUGUGACUGCCUCCUUAGCUAGCUGCUAGCCUUAGCUGCUGUGAGAGUUGCUAAUUUCCUGAUUUGUGGUGCUGGCUGUUUUUCUUGUUCAGGUUUUACAGGCUGUGUAGCAUGAAAAAGUGCUGCUUUAGGUGAGUCUUAGCUAAACCUUUUUGCUGACAUUCCUUUAAAUCAUUCUCUAACUGUGGCAGGACGAUGUGUUUGCUGCUAUUUUCAUAUUAUCUUAACCAGGAAGUGAAACUGUCUCGUAUCUACUAUGUAAAACGUGUUCAUACAAAGGAAUAAGGACAACAAGAGCUCUCAGUUGUCAUACUCUUUAUUCAGUGGUGCGUUCAGGGACCUGCGGUAGCCUCCAAUGACUCCCCGCAGCAGGAACAACAGAGCUUUUUGCACAUAGAAAAAAUAUAUUAAACAGAACUUGAAGAGAUAAAAACAGAGCAUGUUGUAGCUUUAGUCUCUUUAUGUUCAGACACCGACUGGAAAACCACAUUCCUGUCUAUCAGCUUAAGUUUUGACCUUUUUUUUAUUAUUAUGAACCAAAAAAUGCAAACUCAGGGUCAGAGUUAAUAGGAUCACUUUAGCUGGAUUAGUUUAAAAACGAGGAAUUUGACUGGAGUUUUUAAACUUGCACUCGUUGCUGUGGUUUCAAAUUAAGUUUCUAUGAAGCACGUACAUUUUCUAGGCUCGUUAUCUAGAAAUAGUUUCAAGAAUUAAACCAGUUUUCAAUUUGAAUCAACUUUUGGAUGUUUUUUUUUAAUAUUUCCACCAUCUAAUGCUUCCGAUUUAUCUCCAUACAGUAGGAAAAUCAAUGAUCAAUCUCAGUAAAUAACAAAAUUAGCGCCAAUUCUGCAGGUAAAUAAAUGGAAGCUACUGGCUGCCUGUAAAAGUAGGAGACAUCCAACUAUAGAAAACAGCAGCAUGGUUCGCUGUGCAGCCUUCAUUUCAGGAAGAAGAAAGACUCUUUGUGCUAUUUCUAGAUAACGAACCAGCUGAUUGUUGCCUUUUUAAGGUAAGGAGCUUUUAGAAAAUGUGAACCAGAGCAGAAAACAAACAGGAAAUGAUCGAUAAUGACCUGUGGAACGCAACCGCAUUUAAGCUACAACUUCAGAGGCUUUUUUGAUAUUUUCGUGAAUAAAACAACCUGAGAAACUUCAUUUAGUCGAGUCGCCACAACAAAGCUUUAGAGAGGAAAAAGGGAAUUCACAGGAGGGAGAUUUAUAUUAGCAUCUUAUUAACAAGAAAAUGGCACUUCAUUUAAAGAAAACAAAACAAAAAAAACACACCUUUUCUCUUUUAUCUGGGCGAAUACUGCAGAUAAUCGUCUAUUUAUUCACAUUCACACUUCCUGUUGAGGUUUUAAAUGAAGACGUGCAGAGUGAGGAGGGAAAGAGGACAGAAAAAACACAAACAUAUGAAAGGAAAGAAAGAAAAGAGUUGGAAGACAUAAAUAAG
Amphiprion ocellaris (clown anemonefish) is the source of this 7820-nucleotide long non-coding RNA. RefSeq lists it as uncharacterized. The transcript has 6 exons. The record is from RefSeq and is a predicted model, not a curated record. NCBI's taxonomy places the organism in Eukaryota, Metazoa, Chordata, Actinopteri, Pomacentridae.